This 561-nucleotide ribosomal RNA is filed under the name Parachaetomium muelleri. RNAcentral's name for it is "partial 28S ribosomal RNA". It matches the Rfam family "Eukaryotic large subunit ribosomal RNA", at positions 38 to 625 of the family's 3401-position model. Lineage: Eukaryota; Fungi; Ascomycota; Sordariomycetes; Sordariales; Chaetomiaceae. The record is from RNAcentral.
GCAUAUCAAUAAGCGGAGGAAAAGAAACCAACAGGGAUUGCCCUAGUAACGGCGAGUGAAGCGGCAACAGCUCAAAUUUGAAAUCUGGCUUCGGCCCGAGUUGUAAUUUGCAGAGGAAGCUUUAGGCGCGGCACCUUCUGAGUCCCCUGGAACGGGGCGCCAUAGAGGGUGAGAGCCCCGUAUAGUUGGAUGCCUAGCCUGUGUAAAGCUCCUUCGACGAGUCGAGUAGUUUGGGAAUGCUGCUCAAAAUGGGAGGUAAAUUUCUUCUAAAGCUAAAUACCGGCCAGAGACCGAUAGCGCACAAGUAGAGUGAUCGAAAGAUGAAAAGCACUUUGAAAAGAGGGUUAAAUAGCACGUGAAAUUGUUGAAAGGGAAGCGCUUGUGACCAGACUUGCGCCGGGCUGAUCAUCCGGUGUUCUCACCGGUGCACUCGGCCCGGCUCAGGCCAGCAUCGGUUCUCGCGGGGGGAUAAAGGUCCUGGGAACGUAGCUCCUCCGGGAGUGUUAUAGCCCAGGGCGUAAUGCCCUCGCGGGGACCGAGGUUCGCGCAUCUGCAAGGAUG